CGUGCUAUGAAGAGAUAAAGCACAAACGGUGUUUUUGGGCAGUGGAUUAAGAAGAGCUUAUGAACUCUUCUCCGUGAGCCUAAUUAACUAACGACUUCUCCUUCAUCUGAGCAUA
Molecule: small nucleolar RNA, 115 nt
Filed under: Olea europaea subsp. europaea
Lineage: Eukaryota; Viridiplantae; Streptophyta; Magnoliopsida; Lamiales; Oleaceae
Description: Small nucleolar RNA Z152/R70/R12/
Rfam family: Small nucleolar RNA Z152/R70/R12/
About the family: Z152 is a member of the C/D class of snoRNA which contain the C (UGAUGA) and D (CUGA) box motifs. Most of the members of the box C/D family function in directing site-specific 2'-O-methylation of substrate RNAs.
Source: Rfam by way of RNAcentral